This 468-nucleotide ribosomal RNA is filed under the name uncultured bacterium. RNAcentral describes it as "partial 16S ribosomal RNA". It matches the Rfam family "Bacterial small subunit ribosomal RNA", at positions 28 to 507 of the family's 1533-position model. The record is from RNAcentral.
GACGAACGCUGGCGGCGUGCUUAACACAUGCAAGUCGAACGGAAAGGCCCUGCUUUUGUGGGGUGCUCGAGUGGCGAACGGGUGAGUAACACGUGAGUAACCUGCCCUUGACUUUGGGAUAACUUCAGGAAACUGGGGCUAAUACCGGAUAGGAGCUCCUGCUGCAUGGUGGGGGUUGGAAAGUUUCGGCGGUUGGGGAUGGACUCGCGGCUGAUCAGCUUGUUGGUGGGGUAGUGGCUUACCAAGGCUUUGACGGGUAGCCGGCCUGAGAGGGUGACCGGCCACAUUGGGACUGAGAUACGGCCCAGACUCCUACGGGAGGCAGCAGUGGGGAAUAUUGCACAAUGGGCGGAAGCCUGAUGCAGCAACGCCGCGUGCGGGAUGAUGGCCUUCGGGUUGUAAACAGCUUUCGCCUGUGACGAAGCGUGAGUGACGGUAAUGGGUAAAGAAGCACCGGCUAACUACGUG